Pseudomonas batumici is the source of this 85-nucleotide non-coding RNA. NCBI's taxonomy places the organism in Bacteria, Pseudomonadati, Pseudomonadota, Gammaproteobacteria, Pseudomonadales, Pseudomonadaceae. The record is from Rfam.
UUUUAUGGUGGUCGUGCGCAGGGCACUUCGGUGCGCCGGUUUUCCUGAUCACCGGUCUGCUAACCUGCGUACGGCUGCCACCCCC